Molecule: long non-coding RNA, 523 nt
Organism: Gorilla gorilla gorilla (western lowland gorilla)
Lineage: Eukaryota; Metazoa; Chordata; Mammalia; Primates; Hominidae
Exons: 3
Source: RefSeq, a predicted model, not a curated record
CUUAAGCACUGUUCAUCUACAACAGUGUUAAAAAAGUCAUUAUAUAACAAGAAUAAUUCAGACGCAUACCAGAAACAUAAAGUGACUAUUUUCUGUUUGGUUCCUGGGGUGUGGAAGUAGUCUGUUAAAAGUAUUAAAUGGCAUGAAGUUGUAUCAGCACUGAUAGCUGCAAAUGAGCCUGGCACGGAGUUAAAAAGUCCUACACUGAAUGAAUAAUCAAAGUGCCAAUACUGUUCAAUUGAGGAGGGGUGAGACAUAAGAUUAGUCUUGCAAACCUAAAGGACACAUACUCAGUGAAGAACUGGUCCACUUGAGAACAAUCAGGAAGCAAGUGAUAAUCUCUCCACAUUUAAUUAUGAAAAGAAGCCCCAUGAACUCAUGGAAGCCACUGGUGUGAUACUUAUCUGAUGUAGAUCAUAAUAAGCACAACUCGGCAUCACUGUAUGUUUUUUUUACAUACGUAAAUAUAGCUAUUUGAUAUAUAUAUUUAUCUAUCUCUUUGCAUUGUUAACACACAACCAAG